UACGGGUUGUGAGAGCAAGAGCCCGGAGAUGGAUUCUGAGACACGAAUCCAGGCCCUACGGGGUGCAGCAGGCGCGAAAACUUUACAAUGCUGGCAACAGCGAUAAGGGAACCUCGAGUGCCAGGUUACAAAUCUGGCUGUCGAGAUGCCUAAAAAGCAUUUCAUAGCAAGGGCCGGGCAAGACCGGUGCCAGCCGCCGCGGUAACACCGGCGGCUCGAGUGGUAACCGUUAUUAUUGGGUCUAAAGGGUCUGUAGCCGGCCGGAUAAGUCUCUUGAGAAAUCUGGCAGCUUAACUGUCAGGCUUUCAGGAGAUACUGUCUGGCUCGAGGCCGGGAGAGGUGAGAGGUACUUCAGGGGUAGGGGUGAAAUCUUGUAAUCCUUGAAGGACCACCAGUGGCGAAGGCGUCUCACCAGAACGGACCUGACGGCAAGGGACGAAAGCUAGGGGCACGAACCGGAUUAGAUACCCGGGUAGUCCUAGCCGUAAACGAUACUCGCUAGGUGUCGGCCACGGUGCGACCGUUGUCGGUGCCGUAGGGAAGCCGUGAAGCGAGC
This 556-nucleotide ribosomal RNA is filed under the name uncultured archaeon. RNAcentral describes it as "bacterial SSU rRNA". It matches the Rfam family "Archaeal small subunit ribosomal RNA", at positions 268 to 824 of the family's 1478-position model. The record is from RNAcentral.